AUACGUAGGGUGCGAGCGUUGUCCGGAAUUACUGGGCGUAAAGAGCUCGUAGGUGGUUUGUCGCGUCGUCUGUGAAAUUCAGGGGCUUAACUCCGGGCGUGCAGGCGAUACGGGCAUAACUUGAGUACUGUAGGGGAGACUGGAAUUCCUGGUGUAGCGGUGAAAUGCGCAGAUAUCAGGAGGAACACCGGUGGCGAAGGCGGGUCUCUGGGCAGUAACUGACGCUGAGGAGCGAAAGCAUGGGUAGCGAACAGGAUUAGAUACCCUGGUAGUCCAUGCCGUAAACGGUGGGCGCUAGGUGUAGGGGUCUUCCACGACUUCUGUGCCGUAGCUAACGCAUUAAGCGCCCCGCCUGGGGAGUACGGCCGCAAGGCUAAAACUCAAAGGAAUUGACGGG
RNAcentral lists this ribosomal RNA (397 nucleotides) under uncultured bacterium. Its description in RNAcentral is "partial 16S ribosomal RNA". It matches the Rfam family "Bacterial small subunit ribosomal RNA", at positions 523 to 917 of the family's 1533-position model. The record is from RNAcentral.